This 328-nucleotide ribosomal RNA is filed under the name uncultured eukaryote. Its description in RNAcentral is "partial 18S ribosomal RNA". It matches the Rfam family "Eukaryotic small subunit ribosomal RNA", at positions 1470 to 1796 of the family's 1831-position model. The record is from RNAcentral.
CCCUUAGAUGUCCUGGGCCGCACGCGCGCUACACUGAUGCAUGCAACGAGUUUAUAACCUUGGCCUGAAAGGUCUGGGUAAUCUUUUGAACGUGCAUCGUGAUAGGGAUAGAUUAUUGCAAUUGUUAAUCUUGAACGAGGAAUUCCUAGUAAACGCGAGUCAUCAGCUCGCAUUGAUUACGUCCCUGCCCUUUGUACACACCGCCCGUCGCACCUGCCGAUUGAAUGGUUCGGUGAAGAUCUCGGACUUCGAUAUUUAUUCUUUAUUGAGUUUAUAUUGUGGGAAGUUAUCUAAACCUCAUCAUUUAGAGGAAGGUGAAGUCGUAACA